GGAAAAGAGCCUUGCAACCUGUUGAGGAACCUCCAGAUGCUUCAGACGAGCAUGAUCCCAGGAGGAAACCAAAACAUCAAUGGUCUCCAGCUGAGGUUGCGGCAGUGAUGCGACAUUUCAAAGAUUGCAUCAAGAAGGGGAAACUAGCAACAAAGAUUCAGUGUUAUACAUAAGAGACUUUGUGAGAAAUCGUGGCAUAUCCCUUAGGAAGAAGAGUGACAAGUGAACAGCCACCAUUCUUGUUUUCAGUUAGUGAGUUUAGUAAUGUAUUUGUUGCAGCGUCAUACUGUUUGGAGUAGUUGAACAGCUGCCUUUGAGGUGUUGCUCUAGGUGAGUGAAUCAUUGGUAUAUUCAAGAAUUUGAUACAGCAGCACUCAUGACAUUAAAAUUGGGUUCUUGCUCACAGA
This is a long non-coding RNA of Seriola aureovittata, 407 nucleotides long. RefSeq lists it as uncharacterized. The transcript is spliced from 2 exons. The record is from RefSeq and is a predicted model, not a curated record. Lineage: Eukaryota; Metazoa; Chordata; Actinopteri; Carangiformes; Carangidae.